AGGGGCUUGUCCAGCACCUGGAACAGUAUUUCAGAUUCAAUCUGCUGAUGUCUAAAAUGUCCGAGGUGUCCAGCAGGCCAAGGCCAGGAAAAACUACAGUACUGCGAGGGAGGCUGUUGUUAUCCGCUUCUGUGGCUUCCUGCAUGACACACUAACACAUCGGAGCAACCUGUCCGCUUGUCUGCAGAGGUCCACCAUCACCAUAGCAGAAGCCCACAGCUCCUUGUGCUCAACACAAGUAGUACUUAAGAAGUACAAAACCAGAUUUUGGUGACACUGAACUGGAAACCCUGGUGGACCACUUCAAGCCUGUCCCGGAGACCUCUGUCAUCCAUGUUGAAAGGAUCCCUGACCAGUGGACUGUCCUGAAGGUGCUGAUGUACCUAGAGGCUAAGUCCCUGCAGAAGAUGUCCUGGUUCCGUGUCAACAGGAGCCAUCAGCAUUCCUGCCCUGAUUUGCUGGCAUUGGUUGACCUGGUCCUGUCCUUCCCUGCCUUCCCUGUCCUCUCCAGAGAUCAGGGAGUAUGAUCCGAUAAAAACUGUGAUGUUGUGGCACCAGGACUCUGUCAGGAGCAGGAGGCCAGACUUCAUGGACUGUGCAAAGAGGGUGAUUGCGGUGGAGAGUGAGAAGUAUGAUGAGG
Molecule: long non-coding RNA, 640 nt
Filed under: Salmo salar (Atlantic salmon)
Lineage: Eukaryota; Metazoa; Chordata; Actinopteri; Salmoniformes; Salmonidae
Description: lncRNA (ENSSSAG00000083400.1, ENSSSAG00020059235.1, ENSSSAG00075008909.1)
Source: RNAcentral